CAAGUCGAGCGAAUGGAUUGAGAGCUUGCUCUCAAGAAGUUAGCGGCGGACGGGUGAGUAACACGUGGGUAACCUGCCCAUAAGACUGGGAUAACUCCGGGAAACCGGGGCUAAUACCGGAUAACAUUUUGAACUGCAUGGUUCGAAAUUGAAAGGCGGCUUCGGCUGUCACUUAUGGAUGGACCCGCGUCGCAUUAGCUAGUUGGUGAGGUAACGGCUCACCAAGGCAACGAUGCGUAGCCGACCUGAGAGGGUGAUCGGCCACACUGGGACUGAGACACGGCCCAGACUCCUACGGGAGGCAGCAGUAGGGAAUCUUCCGCAAUGGACGAAAGUCUGACGGAGCAACGCCGCGUGAGUGAUGAAGGCUUUCGGGUCGUAAAACUCUGUUGUUAGGGAAGAACAAGUGCUAGUUGAAUAAGCUGGCACCUUGACGGUACCUAACCAGAAAGCCACGGCUAACUACGUGCCAGCAGCCGCGGUAAUACGUAGGUGGCAAGCGUUAUCCGGAAUUAUUGGGCGUAAAGCGCGCGCAGGUGGUUUCUUAAGUCUGAUGUGAAAGCCCACGGCUCAACCGUGGAGGGUCAUUGGAAACUGGGA
This 600-nucleotide ribosomal RNA is filed under the name Bacillus anthracis (anthrax bacterium). RNAcentral's name for it is "bacterial SSU rRNA". It matches the Rfam family "Bacterial small subunit ribosomal RNA", at positions 58 to 638 of the family's 1533-position model. The record is from RNAcentral. Lineage: Bacteria; Bacillati; Bacillota; Bacilli; Caryophanales; Bacillaceae.